RNAcentral lists this unclassified non-coding RNA (318 nucleotides) under Hevea brasiliensis (rubber tree). The record is from RNAcentral. Lineage: Eukaryota; Viridiplantae; Streptophyta; Magnoliopsida; Malpighiales; Euphorbiaceae.
GGCAGCAUGAGGUCGCCGAUGGGCGGAAUUCUGCAGAAUUACCUGCCACUUGUGGUGUUUAUCGGGGUCGCGACCGUGAUCGGUCUUGCGCUUCUGAUCGCACCGUUCAUCGUCGCCUAUCAGCAGCCCGCUCCGGACAAGCUUUCUGCCUAUGAAUGCGGCUUCAAUGCAUUCGACGACGCGCGCAUGAAAUUCGAUGUGCGGUUCUAUCUCGUCGCGAUUCUUUUCAUCAUCUUCGAUCUGGAAGUCGCCUUCCUGUUUCCAUGGGCGGUGGCGUUCGGAAAGCUCGGCCUCGCCGGGUUCUGGUCGAUGAUGGUG